This 205-nucleotide ribosomal RNA is filed under the name uncultured bacterium. RNAcentral's name for it is "partial 16S ribosomal RNA". It matches the Rfam family "Bacterial small subunit ribosomal RNA", at positions 524 to 729 of the family's 1533-position model. The record is from RNAcentral.
UACAGAGGUCUCGAGCGUUAGGCGGAAUCACUGGGCUUAAAGCGUGUGUAGGUGGAUCGUUAAGUACCUUGUGAAUCCCACGGCUUAACCGUGGAACUGCUUGGUAUACUGGCGGUCUUGAGCCAGCUAGGGGCUACCGGAACAAAUGGUGGAGCGGUGAAAUGACGUAGAUAUCAUUGGAACGCCAAUGGUGAAAACAGGUAGC